Non-coding RNA from Lactuca sativa (garden lettuce), 2240 nucleotides. NCBI's taxonomy places the organism in Eukaryota, Viridiplantae, Streptophyta, Magnoliopsida, Asterales, Asteraceae. The record is from RefSeq and is a predicted model, not a curated record.
CUUAUAUUUAAUCAAUUUUCUAUGGAAUAGAAAUUGACCGACAUACCUACAAGGAUAACUAAUUCCCCCCAAAUCUGCCAACCACUAAUUUUUAAGUAACGCACUUCAGAUGUCAUUUGAUUUAUAUUUAUUUUGCUUUUUCAAUGACUUUUAUUGUUCGAGAACACCACCGUUAUAUGCCCAAAGGGAUUACAUAGGGCUAUAGUUCCUUGCUGUAGAUGAGAUUUCUCUGUAAGGAAUUGCAGAAUCUCUUCAGACAUGGCGAUCUGUGCAGCUGUCAAAGGAGAAACAAGGAACACAGUUGUCAAAAGAGAAACAACCAACAUCCACCUCUAAGAUGCACAAACAAUGGAUUAACGGGUUUUAUUAUGAUGAUGAAAAAAAAUCUCAUCCAAGCUCUAAACAGGUACAUAUAGAACAACUUAUAUCGAUUUCCCUUUGAUUGUUUGGUAUUAAAUGUAUGAGUUUGUUCUCAUGUGUUAGGUUGUUUCUUUGGAAACUUCCCUUUAUACCCCCUAAUUUGCUUCAACAACUGAUACAAUAAGUGAAGGGUCAGUUCUUUCUAUUUGAUAUUCCCUACAUUUAAAGCUAAUAGUUGUUCAAAGAUCAAAGAAUGAGGUUCACUUCUGGGUUAAAGAAACUGGAUAGACUUUUAGUCAAAAGUCAAAAUUGGAGUUUGAUUCUAUUUUAUGGCUCUUUCGGAUAGAUUGUAAUUGUAUUUGUCAAAACCAGGUACAUUUUAAGAAGUUAUUUAUCAAGUGAAUUGGUAUAAAGAUUUAAAGUGUUCGAUUAUAGUGGAUUGGAUCUUUAUACUUAUGUGCCAGAGUUGAUAUCAUUUGAAUUGUUGGACACAAAGAUGGAAUGGAAUCAUUUUUCUUUUUUCUUUUUCAUUUUUUUUUGUUCGGCUUUCAACAAGGAUUUGCCAUUUUUUUUGUUUUUGGUGUAAAAAAUCCAUUUCUACCGACCGGUGCCAAGAACCCAUACAUCAAGGAUUUUCAUUCUAUUUCAUUUUUCUUUUUUCCUUUUUCGUAAGAAAACAAUCCCAGGUAAAAAAACAAUCGUUCUGUUGUACUUCAAGUUCGGGAGGGUUUAGUAUUUUCGAUGAUUUCUGCAUCUAAGUAACAAUCAAUUUCAGGUUCCAUUUUUUUAUCCGAUCCAAUUCUAAAGUUUUUAUUUCAUACUAGACCUAUCGAUCCCAAUCUUUAAUUUAUUUCAUCUGUGUUUUUAGGUUACGCCUGGAAUUGAGUAAUUUUUUGGUUCGUCAAUUUAAACAGGACAUUGAGAUACCCUAUUGUACGGUCACUUAGGAUUUUGUGUAGGUAUGUUGGAAUGUGAUUUAAGUUUGUGUAAUUUUACGAGGUUGCAGUCAACUUAGUGUCCAAUGGGUUACUUUUUCCAUUAUAAUUGAUGAGUAUUGUCACAUUUUACCAAAUGAGUUGGCUAUUAGUUUAAGCUACAAAGGAGCAACAAAAUAAGAUAUGUAAUCUUUUAUUCUACACAGGACCUGUUAUGUAAGAAAAGAUGUUUACACCAUUUGAAGCUGAAUUGCAGGUCCAAGUUGGUUCUUAUUUCAAGGUUCUAGGGAACGAUUUUAUGCACAGGUGAUAUGUUGGAUGUUUUUAUCUUUUUUAUUUUAUUUUAUUUUAAAAACAGGUGAUAUGUUGGGUGUUGGGUAAAUAUGGAACUGCAGAUGGUAAAUGGUGGCGAGUAUAACAUGUUCACUAUUAAUGAACACCAUUUUGCUUUAUGAAACAUAUUAAUCUAAAUAUAACAUGUUCACUAUUUUUCUAUGAUAAGUGAUAGCUUGAACUCUCUUUGGUGGAUGUCAUCUCAGUUGAUCCAGAUGUACUGAAGGAUUAGGCUGCAUUUCAGGGCAUUAAGAAUACAAGAUGAUGCCAUGCAAUUUGGCAACACAGCUGCAAAUGGUUUCCAUUUUGGAGGUGGUGUGAAGAAAGUCUCAUAGCUCUUCAAGAGACCGCAAAACAAUGAUGAUCCAACAAAAGUUGGAACACCAGAUAUCCCUUCUUCCCAUGUUGGUAUGUUGUUUCUCCUUUGGUGCUAUUUUUUUCUUUUUGACCAUACUUUUGCUGAUCAUCUACUGUUUUGCGCCUCUUCAAGAAUAUAAGGACAAAGAUGGCAGGUUAUUUUUUUGGAAUGUAAAUAUGUCAUCUUUUAUUCUUUUUACAAAUUUAAGCAACAUACUUAUUAUUUUAUCUAUAAUAGCAAUUCAUUAACCACAA